This 563-nucleotide ribosomal RNA is filed under the name Chelon auratus (golden grey mullet). RNAcentral's name for it is "partial 16S ribosomal RNA". It matches the Rfam family "Bacterial large subunit ribosomal RNA", at positions 1837 to 2597 of the family's 2925-position model. The record is from RNAcentral. Lineage: Eukaryota; Metazoa; Chordata; Actinopteri; Mugiliformes; Mugilidae.
AACUACACAUAAGAGGUCCUGCCUGCCCUGUGACCCCUGGUUCAACGGCCGCGGUAUUUUGACCGUGCAAAGGUAGCGCAAUCACUUGUCUCUUAAAUGAGGACCUGUAUGAAUGGCACAACGAGGGCUUAACUGUCUCCUUUCCCUGGUCAGUGAAAUUGAUCUUCCCGUGCAGAAGCGGGAAUCCUAACAUAAGACGAGAAGACCCUAUGGAGCUUUAGACUUCAGAACAGAUCAUGUAAGCUACCCCCAUGAAAUGGGUAAUAACUAUUGAACUCCUGUUCCCCUGUCUUUGGUUGGGGCGACCACGGGGAAGAAAAAAACCCCCAUGUGGACCAGGAGCACACUACUCCUACAACCAUGAGCCACAGCUCUAAUGCACAAAAUCUUUGACCAUUAGAUCCGGCAAAGCCGAUCAACGGACCAAGUUACCCUAGGGAUAACAGCGCAAUCCCCUUUAAGAGUCCAUAUCGACAAGGGGGUUUACGACCUCGAUGUUGGAUCAAGACAUCCUAAUGGUGCAGCCGCUAUUAAGGGUUCGUUUGUUCAACGAUUAAAGUCUU